UACGUAGGUGGCAAGCGUUGUCCGGAUUUACUGGGCGUAAAGAGCGCGCAGGCGGUCGUUCAAGUCGCGUGUGAAAGCCCCCGGCUCAACUGGGGAGGGUCACGCGAUACUGAUCGACUCGAAGGCAGGAGAGGGUAGUGGAAUUCCCGGUGUAGUGGUGAAAUGCGUAGAUAUCGGGAGGAACACCAGUGGCGAAGGCGGCUUUCUGGUCUGUAACUGACGCUGAGGCGCGAAAGCGUGGGGAGCAAACAGG
RNAcentral lists this ribosomal RNA (253 nucleotides) under uncultured bacterium. RNAcentral's name for it is "partial 16S ribosomal RNA". It matches the Rfam family "Bacterial small subunit ribosomal RNA", at positions 524 to 776 of the family's 1533-position model. The record is from RNAcentral.